AUGAACGCUGGCGGCGUGCUUAACACAUGCAAGUCGAACGAAGCAUUUAAGACAGAUUACUUCGGUUUGAAGUCUUUAUGACUGAGUGGCGGACGGGUGAGUAACGCGUGGGUAACCUGCCUCAUACAGGGGGAUAGCAGCUGGAAACGGCUGGUAAUACCGCAUAAGCGCACGGUAUCGCAUGAUACAGUGUGAAAAACUCCGGUGGUAUGAGAUGGACCCGCGUCUGAUUAGCUGGUUGGUGAGGUAACGGCCCACCAAGGCGACGAUCAGUAGCCGACCUGAGAGGGUGACCGGCCACAUUGGGACUGAGACACGGCCCAGACUCCUACGGGAGGCAGCAGUGGGGAAUAUUGCACAAUGGAGGAAACUCUGAUGCAGCGACGCCGCGUGAGUGAAGAAGUAGUUCGCUAUGUAAAGCUCUAUCAGCAGGGAAGAUAGUGACGGUACCUGACUAAGAAGCACCGGCUAAAUACGUG
RNAcentral lists this ribosomal RNA (479 nucleotides) under uncultured bacterium. Its description in RNAcentral is "bacterial SSU rRNA". It matches the Rfam family "Bacterial small subunit ribosomal RNA", at positions 29 to 507 of the family's 1533-position model. The record is from RNAcentral.